This 1538-nucleotide long non-coding RNA is filed under the name Monodelphis domestica (gray short-tailed opossum). Its description in RNAcentral is "lncRNA (ENSMODG00000049397.1)". Lineage: Eukaryota; Metazoa; Chordata; Mammalia; Didelphimorphia; Didelphidae. The record is from RNAcentral.
AGACAGACCUGCCUGAGAGUAGACUGAGGAGAGCCUGAAGAGCCAGCUUAGAGUGAGAGAAAGAAAGCCAGGGCCUCGAGGAGCACAGGUACGUGAAUCGUCGUCUCACUGAUAGCCAGGCUGAUGUCCCUCCUAGGCCAGAGAUUUUAUUUUAGUUCAUUAGACCCUUUCCUUCUGUUUAAGGAUAAAUACUUCGUAUUGGUCCCAAGGCAGAGAAGCGGUAAGGGUAGACAAGGGGGGUUAAGUGACUUGCCCAGGAUCACCCAGCUAGGAAGUGUCCCAGGACAGAUUUGAACCCAGGACCUCCCAUCUCGGGUCCUAGCUCUCCAUCCACGGAGCCACCCAGGCCCCAGGGCAUAGAUUCUAGUAGAGAAGAGCCUUUAGCGCUGCUGGGGACAAUCCCCUGGUUUGUGAUGGGACUCAUGCUCUCCUUCCCAUGUGGAGGCGCUCCUGAACUGGGCCAUCCUGUUCCCUUGGGGUUCCGAGGUCACAUCGCCGCCCAGGGCUCGGGAACAUCUCUCCAUCCCACCAGUUCCCACCACUGUGCUGAUGCCGGGAUUUCCCGCUGAUUAUGGACUCCGUCAGCCAGUCACACCUGGGCUUCGGAAAGGGCUGUUUUACCCCCGUGGUCACGUGGGGUGAAAGCGGGCCCUCCCCCACUUCCCCGUCCUGUCUCUCGCCAGCAUCUGCAGAGCCCCGGAACGGAGAUGUUCCCCUCCGGGAUGGGGGAGCUCUCGAGGAGCCUCGAACCUGCCUUUCCCGGGUGGAAAUGUUCUUUCUUUCCAGCCCGGCUCUGUGGCCCCACUGGACCGGACACCGGAGCGGGAGAGAAGGAAGAGUGUCGUGGGACCUGGCCUGGGGAGGACAGGUGAUUCGUCCUCUCCCUUAGUGGGGAGGAACACUUGUCCUGGAUUCGAGGGGCUGCCAUUACUCUAAUGAACAAGUAAUGUGGUAUUCGGGAUGACCCCUGGCUGCCAUAGCAACAAAUCAUGACAUCAUGAAAACACAGGAUGACUUUAGGGUGGGAGAGGCAGCCACCUAAUGGGGAGGGCCCCCUCGCCUCCAUCGGGCGCUCAGCGAGUAGCCCAACCUAGGCCACCUCUUUGAGGCACAGAACGAGAUGCCUGCAGGUGUGUGUAGGAAGGGGGCGGGGAGGGCUGGGGGACAGAAACCCCCAAGAAUUCUUCCAAGUCUACAGAGAAACUCCAAAGAGGACAAGAAGGCUCCCAGCUGCCACGGAAGUGAAUUAUUGCCUCGCUCUAAAGGGGUGGCAGGCCAUUUCUCCGGGGCUGGUGAUGGCGGAGGGGGCAGGAUGGAGAGCUGACCUCCUGGCCCGUGGGCAGGUCAGAGUGGGCCUGAGAAAGGACUGUGGUGGCCUGGCCUGGGGCGAGGGGCUGGGCUUGGAGUUGGGGUGGCAGAAGGGUCAAACACGGCCACGUGUCCCACAACAUUCACACAUUCUUAACUGGGGCCCAAACCAGAUCAAAAUGUAGUUUGGACUAUUCCAUAAAAGACAAUAAAACCGAGCUACGAGUGCA